This 503-nucleotide long non-coding RNA is filed under the name Nicotiana benthamiana. Its description in RNAcentral is "long non-coding RNA (NBEN_LNC011106)". The record is from RNAcentral. Lineage: Eukaryota; Viridiplantae; Streptophyta; Magnoliopsida; Solanales; Solanaceae.
ACAUAAAACAAAAUUACAUCAAGAGCGUGUCCAUUAUCACAUUCACUUCAGGGAAUGGAUCAUAAUCAUCUGUAUGUGCCAUAUAUAAUCUCAUGUCAAAUAUUACUUUCAUAAAGUGAAAGAUUAUUUUGAGAAUCUUUAUUAUUCUCAUUAUCACAAUGAUGAUGAUUAUAAUUCCNNNNNNNNNNNNNNNNNNAAAGAUUAUUUUGAGAAUCUUUAUUAUUCUCAUUAUCACAAUGAUGACGAUUAUAAUUCCGUCUAUUGCCACGUCCACAUCCAUUGAUACCUUCACGGUUAUAAUUUUGUCUUCUUUCAGACUUAUCACAUACUGCUAUCCUUUCUUUUCAGUAGUGCUCCUUUCCCAUCACAAUAUUUUUAGUAAUAAACAUCACGAGACAAAUUUGACAAGUAAUUAACGCAAAAAAGAUUUGAAAGUUAUAAACAUCUAAAUAUAUUUCAUUUAUAUGUUCAUUGGUCAUAGUAAUAAACUAGUUGAAUUAUUA